RNAcentral lists this long non-coding RNA (25685 nucleotides) under Citrus maxima (pomelo). RNAcentral's name for it is "long non-coding RNA (CMAX_LNC000391)". Lineage: Eukaryota; Viridiplantae; Streptophyta; Magnoliopsida; Sapindales; Rutaceae. The record is from RNAcentral.
CAAAUUCUGAUAUUUUCCGAGGGAUGAGGGUAUACUGCCUUGCAAUUUAUUGAAUCCUAAUUGAAGGACAUUCAAUAAUGUGAGGUUACCAAGUGAGUCAGGAAUGAUCCCCCUUAUGUUGUUUCCAACCAAGCCGAGAGCUUGCAGGUUUCUGAGCUCACCAAUGGCAGGAGGAAUAGUGCCUGUUAACUGGUUAUACUCUAAACCCAGUCCAUUAAGAUUGAAAAGAUUUCUUAUUUCAGGAGGUAUGGUGCCUGAAAUUUGAUUCCCUGCCAUGGCGAUUAAUGUCAUUGUUGUCGAGAGGUUGGCUAUAGAAUGUGGUAGUACUCCUCCUAAUCUAUUAAAAACUAAACCAAGCCUUUCCAACUUACUGCAGUUUGUGAGAAGGGUUAUAAAAUCAAGAUCAGUAGAUGUCCUUGUUCCUAAAUUAUUUCGACCCAAAUUAAGCUUACUUAGAUUCGGAAGACUGUUGAAAUUGAUUCUCACUUGCCCACUGAAAUGAUUUUCGUUAAGCUCAAGCGAUUCAAGUUUUGAAGCAUUGGACAAUGACUGCGGGAGAAAACCUGUAAGAUUGUUUUGAGCUACUACUAGGACGGUCAGUUUUGGAAGAUUGAAACCUAAGCAGACGGGAAGACUUCCUUUGAAUCUAUUUUUAAAUAGAUAAGCCUCGUCUAGGGAAGAGAUGUUACAAACUGAAAGAGGAAACAUACCACAGAAAUCAUUUUCACUUGUGCCUAAGUAGUUCAAGUUUCUUAGUUGACCUAGACUAUCAGGAAUUCUCCCAUCCAAUUUAUUUCCCGCGAUGUCAAAUGUCUGGAGAGCUGAGAGAUUCCCAAUGGAAGGUGGGAGCUGCCCUGUCAACUGAUUAUCGUACAAGGACAAGCGCUCAAGUUUCAACCAGUUGCCGAUGAUUGCUUGAAUCUCUCCCACAAGGUUGUUAGUAUGGACCCAAAAAUCGAUGAGGUUAAAACAACGAGACAAGUUGGUUGGAAUCUUACCUGAAAAAGAAUUGUUUGAGAGUACUAUAGUUUCAAGCCUGAAAAGACGACCAACUUCUUUCGGAAUUUGACCGUGAAAACUGUUGUUUGCCAGGUUGAUGACUCUGAGGAAGCUCAGAUUUCCAAUGUAAGGAGAUAAGAAACCUCCUAUGUUUUGGCUUUCAAGAUCUAGCUCCGUUACCCUUUGGUGCCGAUGACCACAAGUCACGCCUGUCCAGUGACACAGGUUGAUAGAAUUGUUCCAUGAACUUGUAACACCAAGUGGAUCCCGAAGCUGUGACUUUAUGGCAAGCAAAGCAAGACGAUCUGUCUCGUUUGAAAGGGCGAAACAGCUAUCAGAAUUAAGCAAUGAAAACAAGCUAAAGCACCAUACUAAAGUGGCAAGGCAGCUCAUGGCAUUUAGCAUGUUUGAGCGUGAAGCUGGGAACAAGAUAAGGCUGCUCAAUGUUGUGCUCAGAAUGUGUGGACGAUUGUUUCAACUUCAUGUGAUGGGUUUUUAAAGCACACAAAAUACAAAAUUUUCUUCAUUGUUUGGUGUGGACUACCUCAACAUCAUGUCAAUUCAUUUAUUUAAAUUUAACACGAGAACACGAACUGACACUCCUAUUCAUAUUGCUUGUCAAUUUAGAGACUAUAAAGCCAUGAAUCAUGCGAAUUGGUACAGCUAAUUAAUUAAAUAAGGAACAACAAAUAAUAAGGCCGCUAACAGUUAGGAGUAUUAACCCAUGAAUCAUGCGACAGUGCCGGAAUGGGCGGCCGAAGAUUGUAAACUCUGAACGGCAUCGUUUUGAUUUUACCUAUUCGGGCGCCCGGGCGCCCAUUCGCACAAACUAGAAUUUUCCUUAAGCUAUAAGAAAGUGGCAAGCAGCUCAUGAAAAAGGAAUUUAUCGUGCUCAAACUUUGAGGAUUUUUAUUAAGCUGUGCUCAAAAUGUGUACAUGAUCGAUGCAACAUCAUGUGAAGGGCUUUUAGAGCAGAUUUUUCUUCGUAACCUCAGUUAAGAAAAAUGUCAGUCAAUAAAACGCAGCUGAGUAAUUGAAUGCAUGGUGUUGUUGGAGUCUUUGGACAUGAAAUUCUGUGGAAAUUUCUACUUGGAAACCAAAUGGUUAAACGUUCACCGCCCAAUAAAUACGGCACUCGCUCUUUCCUAAAACAGAAGUUAACUACUUAUUUUAUAAGAAAAGAGAAUUAUCAGUUAUUAUGUAUUUUUAAAAAAGUCAAAGUAUUCCUCCUAGUGCACCUAAAAUAAAUACCUUUUUUUUCCCUUUUUUCUCUGGAAAUUAAAUAUAUGCUUAUUAAAGUCUCUCAAUAAUAUUUUUUUUGGUUUUAGCAAACACGAUUAUUUCAUGAGGGAAAAAAACAUAUUAAUUACAAUCACAAACCCAUUCAAAGUACAAAAUUAAAAUUACAAACAUUUCCCAAUUUUUAUCAAUAUAAGAUGGUUUUAAUAAAUUCUUACUCUUCUCACAUUGCUAUUUUGAGAUUCUUAGGAGUUGUUUGUUUCUACUCAGUUAAGUAAAGUUUGCCUUUUCAACUUGAAUCGUAAAUGGAACAUAAUUUACUAAAAUUAUAAAUAUGAAAUUUACGUUUAUUUUUACACAUUUCAAUGAAAUAUCAGGAUUUUUUUCUUUUUUACGUAUUUAUAUAAUAAAGUUUAUCCUUAUUUUGAGUGAUAAGUCAAAAUUUCAUUUUUCAUUCAAUAUUUUUGGCAAGUGUUGAGUGUCAAGUUAAAAAAUAAAUACAUUUAAAACAAUUAAUAAACUGUAACAAAUCAUAUUCACAAUAUUCAAUUACAAAUCAAACAAGCAUUUUUUUUAAUUAUUAACUCACGUCUCACGCACCUGUUGUAUAGUUCAACUCCAAAAAAAAAGUAAUUUUUUUAUAAUAUUAUUAACUCGUGCACCCAUUGAAACUGAAACCUAGAACCUGAGUCUUAGGAUGGCCGCUUCUUACAAUUAGAGUAAGAUCUUAGCUUCAAGUCAAACGAGUAGUUUAAUAUGACUUAUUUUUACAAAUUCAUAUUUUCUAACUUUUUUUUUUAUAAUUACCAUGAACCCUUUGGCCUCUUGAUUUUACGAGAAUUUAGGCUAUCUUUUUGGGAUAUAUUUCUUCAAUUUCGCAUGUAACACUUAUAAAUAAUUUAUAUACCAAUGAAAUCAAAUAAAAAGUUGAAAAAUUCUCAUCUUAACACAUUAUGUUGAAUGUUCAAUGAAUUAUUUAAACAUUAACUUUUAAUACUACCAUUACACAUUACACAAUUAACCUGUUUUAUAUCACAUGAAAACCUCAUUCAUUUUGUCUUUUAUACUGUCGACUAUAUACGGUAAAAAAUGUUAAAAAAACUUAGACUGUUUGAUCGUAAAUUAUAAAAGUCAAAAUUUUUUAAGUAGAUAAAUCAAUCGCUAGAAUAAUUAGAAAAAAAAAUGCAGAAAUAAACAUCCAUUUUUAUUUCCAAACACGCAUAGAAAAUUAUAAGCAUCAUUAUCGCUACUUUCUUUGUUAUUUUUUGUACACUACUAGAAAAAUGAGUUUUACUGACACUAAUUUAGCGUCAGUAAUUACUUUUAUUGACACUUGUUAAUUGUGUCAGUGUUGCUCAAGACAGAACACACUGACACUAAUUUUUGGUGUCAGUGAUUUUUGUGUCAGUAAUUUGUUUCACUAUAGUAUCACUAAAAUAAUGACACGAUGAUGUUGGUAUUUAAUGAUACUAUUUACACGUCAGUAAUUUAUGUGACUAUAGUAUCAAAAACUGACUCGAUAAUAUAAAAAAUUCUUAUUGUUAUUUUAAAUAUGUAGUGUCAGUAUUUAGUAAUGUUAUGCUGCUUUUGGUUAAUAGUAUAUUUUAUUUUAAUUAUAUUUUUCGUGUUUGUUGUACAACCAAAAGAAAACUCAAAAUAUAUUUAUUAUUAAAUAUCUUGCAACACAAUUCAUAUAAUAAACAUCUCAAAUACAUCACAUAAAUUCACACAAUUCAACUACAUCACUAUAUGUAAAAGACUUAACAUAAGUAUCAAAUUAAAUUUUCAACAAUCUCUAAACAACAAGUGCUAACUACUACUCAAUUAAGUUUCCAACCCAAAAAAAAAAAAAAAAAAAAAGCACAAGGUCACUCAAUAUCCAUCCACGGCUUCAUUUUUUUCCCACCUACAAAUGCAUAAAAUCAAUUAGUAUACUGUGAAAAAUAAAUCUUAGUUAUUUUGAAGCAAAAAUACUCAUAAAUUACUUCAAUAUGGAAGAGUAGGAUUAAAAGAAGCAAGUUAAGGAAUCAGAAAAAGAAAUUGUAGAAUCUACACGUUCCCAAGUUAAUUACAACCUGCAAUCAUGAUACCAAAAUUGCUUCACCAAAAGUAUUCUAUCAAGUAUUAAAGAGAACACUUAAUAAGUACAUCAAUAUUCAGUAAUGAUGACAUGAACGAUGGUGUCUACAACUUGACAAGCAUAAGUUAUUUUUUUUGUAAUCUAUUUCAUUGUCUAAAUUUAAAGUAAACAAUACUAUAAUAUAUGAUCAAAUACAUUAAGUUAACAAGUACUAUAACAUUUAUAAUGCCCACAUUCAACGAUGAUCAGUUGGACCGAAAGCCAUAAAUUGAAAAAAAAUAUAUUUAAUGAACUUAAAGAGGAAAAAUAAAAAUUAACAAAAUUUAAACGACUAGUGAAGAAAUUACCAACUAAUAACCAAUCCUUAUACUACUAACAUAUCAUGAAAAUCUUGUGUUAUGGCAAGAAAACUCAGCUUUUCUACAAGUUACAAGGGCUCUCACAUUUUUCCAAUCGAGGUCUGGUUCAAUUCUCACAAAGCCUCUCAAACUUUCCUUAAGAACUAGCUUUCUUGUUAUUCAAGGAAACAUCUAAUUGACUGGACAAAAUCUACCAGCAACCUCAUUGGUAACACUUGCUACUUUGCUACUGUAAUAACCAGCAGCCAACUCUCUUGUUCUUCUAUAUAACACUUCAGCUACCCUCCCACUUCAGCGUCAUUAGUUCAUUACCAUGGAACCAACCUCUUGGAACCUCCAUGAAAGUUGAAUUUGUCACCAAUCUUUACAAAAUAUUAGUUUUAAAAUAAAAUUUAAAAAAUGUAAAAUUUCCUCUAAUUUCCAAUUCUUUUUCUUUUGUUUUAAAGAACAAUCGCAUUCUAAUCCAACCAACGUGGAUAGAAUAUGGCCACCAUUCAAGAUUCCAACAUUAUUACGCUCAACACAUUACAAGGUUUGCAAAGACCCACCAUGCUUGGAACUAGUUCCUCCUAAACUAUUCCCUUUCAAGUCCACGUUUUAGAUAGGUCAUGUGAUACACAUCAAAAGAAAGUAUAAAUAGAUCAAUAUGGUGUGCCUUUCACUCUGUACUAAUAAUCAAUUCAUUUUGCAUAUUAUCUAUCAAUUUCUGGUGCCACAGCAUAUGUACCUCAGUAUAUACUAAUCCUUGUGUUAUUUGUUGCUCAGCCUGCUCCUAUAAGCUUGAAUGGUUAUGCCCAACUGGCCCACCAGGAAUAGGGUUCUUAAUUUUCAUAAAAGAUAAUUAAUAGAGAAACUUCUCUGUAGUAUUUUCAUACCUGUGCCAAAACAGAGAAGAGAAAGAAAUGGUGUCUGACCUCGGUGGUAAAGGAACGAACAUGGAUGAAAAAUAAACUUGUGCAAACGGAGCCACUAGCAUUUUGCAAGAAUUAAAGAUUUUGGGUGAAAUCCUCUCUUAUAAACACUUAUUUGUAUUGGGAGCAUGCAUACUUCCGAGUAUGAUAUAAUUCUAUAAAAUUUAGACUCCCGAUAGAUAGAUAACACGUAUUAGCAUUAAUUAAAUGGAAGCAUCAACAAUAAUCAAUAAAUCAUUAUGGAAAAAAAAUUAAAAAUGAAAGGAGCUGAGGCACACCAUUGUGAUGCAAGAUUGACAAUCAAAAGAACCUUCCCUUGUAGAUGCUAAGAUCAACAUCAUGUCCCUUAGCAUCCUGCAAAUAAGAUAAUUUUUUAUAAAAAUUAAAAAAUAUAUAUGUCAAAUCCCAAAUUGAAUUAAAAAUAAAAAAAAGGGAAAGAAAAUGAAAGGAACACAAAUAAUAAAAAUAAAGUUGAAUUUAACAAUGAAAUCUUGAACAGAAGUUUUCAAUUGGCUUGUCAUUGUAUGAUCCGAUUUCAAAGUGAAAAAACAAGGCCUUGAAACCAAAGAAAUUGGCUUAGUUUUUUAUGGCCUCAAAAGGGUUUGCUUAUAAUUCCAAGUGAAAUGUUUUGUCAAAAAGGUUGAAGCUUGUCGUGGCGGCAGAGGAGCGGCAGCAGUGACCAAGACGAGCAGCAGCAGUGACGUACACGAAUGACAGCAGCGAUGUACAGAAAGGUAAUUAACAGAUUAACUCCUUUGCAGUAUUUUCAUACCUGUGCCAAAAGAGAGAAGAGUAAGAAAUGGUUCUUGAUCUCGACGGUAAAGGAACGGUGGUUGGCUGGGCUGAAGUUGAUGUGACGGCAUAAAAGCGGUAGCAGCGACGUACUAAAAGGUGGCUAGCUAGUCGUCGGUGGCUGAAGCUUGACAACAGCAGAGCAAAGGCGGCAGUGACGUCAAAGAACGACAGCCGACAGCAGUGAAAGUCGAGGAGCAGCGGCCGGCAGCAGUGAAAGUUGAGGAGCAGGGGAGCGGCGGCAGCAACUUAAGAAGUGGUGUGUUUGAUUAGGUUAGAUUUAGGGUUUCUUAUUUUCAUUUUAUACUUUGAAAAUUUAUAUAGUGUAGUUGUUCGCAUUGUAAUUUAAUAAAACAACAAACUAUAAGUCGACACGUGGUCAAGUAAAAUUAUUAUUAUUAACAACGAAUUACAAGUUGACAUGUGGCAAAAUAAAAUAUUAUUCUCAAAACUAUUAUUAUUAUUAUUAUUAUUAUUAUUAUUAUUGUCCACAAAGUAAUUGUGUAAAAUUUAAUUAAAUAAAAAAAUUAAUCAAAUUUAAAAUUUAAAAACACAUGCAUCAAUGGUUUGCACUCUAAACUUACAAAUUUUAAGUUUAGAGAUCUUGAGUUUGAGUUCAAAUUAAAACAAAAUUAAUAUUAUUAUUUUUUUUAUCACUGAUGCUUUAGUAUCAAUAAUCAUUGAGUUUUAAGCUACUGACACCUUAGUAUCAAUGAUUUAUGAUACAUACUUGUUAAAGGCAGAAAAUGGUCCAAAUGUACACCAUUUCUGACACUUUUUACUAAGUGUCAGAAACAAAGUGUCAGUAAAUGUCAUUUUUGUAGUAGUGGUAGGACUGGUUAAUAUAACCGGGUCAACUAAGGAAAAUUUAUUAUUAUUAAUUUUUGCAAACCCCGGCUAGUACGAGGAAAUUUUAUUAAUAAUGAAAUUUAAAAAAUAAGAAAUAUAUUUGUAUGUAGUCGUAAGCGUAGAGUCUACUUAAAAAAUAAUAAUAAUAAGUAAAAGAGAGAGCAAAGACUUUUGUGCGCUUGUUGAAAUUUCUACAUGGAAACUAAAUCGUGGCCCGUGUACCAUAAAAUCUUUGAUAGCAGAUUUGUCUCUGUAGAUCUUCUAGGUUGUGUCUCAAAUUUGACUGAGCUAAACAUAUAUACACCUUUUGCACUAUCCAAAGAAUACUAGUAAUUUCUAUGUGCAAAAGUGUGUGUGUGUGUAUAUAUAUAUAUAGAUAUAUAUAGUAUUUCUUUUUUUAGGGAAAAGACACUACACCUCUAAUGUUUAGGUGUCAGGACCCACUUUUAACCAUAAUAUCUUUGGACUUUAUAAAUCUAAAAAAAUUAUUCUCAAAAUUUUAUAAUAAAUAGAAAUAUAGGAUUAAAGUAUCUGUAAUAAUAUAUAUUUAAAAUAAUUUUGCUAUUUAAAAGAAAUUAAUUAAAGUUAAAACUAUUUUGAAUAUUAUGUAAAAAAUAAUUUUAGUAUUAUUAAUAGGGAGAUAUUUUGCUAAUUGUAAAAUUUAUUUAAAACAAAGAUUUAUUUAAAAUCUUCAAAAUAAAUAUAAACAUAUUAUUGAAAUAAAUAUAAUAAUUUAAAAUUUUAAUAUUAUUUUAAAUGUUAAAAAUAAUUUAAUAUUACUAGUCUACUGGAUAGAUUAUAUUAUUUAUAUUAUAUUUGUAUUAAUUAAAAAAAUUAAAUUCGCUAUUCUAAUUACUAUAUUAAAUAGGUAUUAUUGUUAAAAAGAGAUUUUGGUGUCCUUUUUUAAAAAUUUGGGUUUCCUCAAACUUUAGGGUGUUGGUAUCUUUUUUCCUUUUUUUUUUAAUGGAAAAGACGAUUGAUAAGAGGAGUUUGAUCAAAUCCCUAACUUCUUGUAGAAAAAAUGAGUCAAUUAAAUCAUGUUAGUACAAAUAGAAAAAUAAUGCAUUUAGGAAUUGAAGCUUACUUCUUUCAGUCCAUGGCGGUGCCACGUUGGGGCUAAUAAGGGCUAAAGCACUUGCUUGACUUUUUAAAAUUUUUAAAUUCAUUUUGGCAUUUAUCGCAUUUAUAAUUUGAUUUAUCAUAACAAAAAAUAACUAAAUUGUCAUAUAUUUGUUUUUUCAUGUUAUUUUUAAAUCCUUUGAAAAAAGGUCAAAUCCCUAAUUCUCAUCACUAUCAUGUUAAAUUGUUUUUUGUAGCUUUGGACAUGCAACUUCAAGAACUAAGCAAUUGUUUCAAUGAGGUGAAUAUUGAGUUCCUUCUUUGUUUGGCAUUUCUAUGGCCCAAUGGCUCUUUUGUAGAUUUUGACGAAUAGGAACUACUUCGCUUUGUUCAGUUUUACCCAAAUAAUUUUUACCCAAUAAAUCUUAUGGCACUUGAAAUUCAACUGGACGUUUACAUUAUGGAUGUGGAUUUUGAUAACAUUUUUUUAGGAUUGACAAUGAUUAAUGAACUAGCAUGAAAAAUGGGACUGAAAAGGAUAACUUGUAUUCAUUAAUUUUUCUAUUGGUGACAUUAGCAUUGAUUUUACCAUUGCUACAACUAUAAUAGGAAGGGUAUUUUCAGUUAUGGAUUUUGUGAAAAAACAGUUUGGAAAAUUAGAUGGGAGAUCAAUGGUUGAAUGGUAGUAUUGUUGUAUACAGAGAAAAAUAUAUAUUUUGUAGUCUUGAUGACGAGGUUAUUCUUUAAAGUUUUCAACAUAUGAAACCACGUAAAGGAUUGUUACAGGUGUAUUGAAUUAAAUAUUUUAAUAAAUUUUUCAUCAAUAUUUGUUAUUUGUUGACUAUUUUUUAAAUUAUAUUACUGUUUGGGCCGAGCACCUGCUAGGUUGAAUUCCUAGCACCACCACUAUUUCCUACCUUGGACACAUUGUCACCCAUACCAUACCUUUUAAAAAGAAAAACAAUUUGUUAAGGGUGUGUCUAGCACCCUCUAACAUGAGAAUGCAUUGCACUAUACAAUGCAGUCUCAAGUUUCACUGCCACAAAUUGCCGCAUUAAGUAAACCCGACUGGGAGAAAACGAUAUUAUUUUUUAAGCCCACCUUAAAUUUUUAAAAUAUUUUUUAAACCCACCUUGAAAAGUAAUUAAUAAUUUUAAAAUAUUUAGCUCACCAAUAAUAUUUUUAUUUGUAGAGUCUUCUCUAAAUUAAAAAAAAAAAGAUUCUUUCAUCAUAAAUUAUAAAAGUUUAUGUAUGUUAAUAAAUCAUUUUCUGGUAUAAUAAUUAAAAAAUACAUAAAAAAUAUGUACUUAAUUUGUUUCUCAAACACGCAUUAGCACAUCAUUAUUGCUGUAAAUAUAAAAAAGAAAAAAAUAAUAUUCACACAUAUACUUCACCAGAUUAAUUUUUUUUUAGUAGUGCUACACAUUUUAAAUUUAUAUUUCAAAAAUGUAUCUCAAAUGAUGUAACAUUCAUUAACUGAAUGGUGCGAUAAUACAAUUAAUUUACUUGGAUCUUAUAAAAAAUAUCAAUUACUUAAUAAAUAAUACAUCACAUUGCCACAUAACUCGGCAUGAAAUUUAAAAUACAAAAUUUGUGAUAUCUAUCAUUACUGCAUAGUUUGAGAUGGAAUUUAAAAUACAAAUUUUAUGAUGUUUAUCAUUUAUUUAUUUAUUUUUAUCUAAAUCGGAUUCAUGUGGAAUUUAAUAAUGUGGUGAUGAGUAUGCUCACAAAAGCAGAAUCAAUGGAGAAUGAGAAGAUGGAAACGAUGACUCAUUUGUUUCCGAAGCCAACGAACAACAAGUCGUUCACACUUCCCACGAAAACUAAUAGGUGGCCAAUAAGUUACUGCCUCAUGUAGGCGGAUUCCUCGACAAUCAAUUUCAAUUAUUUUUGUGCGUAUGUGGUGCACAUUUAUAAUAAAUGAGAAAAACUUCAGUGCCUCAACCGUACCAUACCAGAUUGCAUGUAGUGCGCUUUGACCAAUGAGGAUCCACUGAUGUGGGUUGUUUUGAUUUAGAGUAGUAUUAUACAUUCUAAAUUAUUUAUCUCAAAAAAUUAUCUUAAAUGAUGUAGCAUUUAUUAAUUGAUUAGUGAGGAUAAUAUAAUUAAUUCACUUGAAUCUUGUAAAGAAUUCAAUUAAUUAAUGACAUAUUAUUUGGAAUUGAAUUUGAAAUAAUGUUCAGUGCCGAGUUGAGUUUUUACUGAAUAUUGAAUCAAUUGUUGUUGGAAAAAAUAAAAAAAAUUAAAUAAUUCUAAUUAUUAAUUUAGUACUCAGCAAAAACUUAGUUUAGCACUGAAUUUUAAUCUAUAUAAGGAUAAAUCUAUCAAAAUGUUAUAUUUAUUGGUUUGGCGCACUAAGGGAACACCACAUAAUUUAAGUCUGUCCCCUAUAAACGAUUUGAAAAAUUGACAAUCAAUCAAAUUUUUUUUUAUGAAUUUGUGGGAAUUUCUACUGUGGAAAAUAAAUCCUCGCUCCUCAAUGCAUACAUUUUUAAUUCAAAGAUUCAAUGAUCCAUGUACUAUCUAAUAAACCAAUUAAAAAAAUGUGUGAAUGAUCGAUGCAACUUCGAAUUCAUGUGAAGGUUUUUAAAGCAGAAAAUGUAUUAACUAAUUUCAUAAGGUGCGUGUACGACACGCAUAAGUUGACGCAUAAACCAAGACAGUCAAUAAAUAAAUUCCAAUUAUUUUUGUUGAAAUUUCUUCGUGGAAAACAAUUGGCUGAACAUCCACCAUCCAAUAAUUGUGGUGCGGCGCAAACAGUUGACUUAGACCAUGAAAAAUAGGUUGAGAAAUAUUAAUAAAAUGAUUAAUCUCUUCAUUCUCAGACCACAAAAUUGCACGAUCAGUGUGGAAUUAAGUUUAAGAUUUUUCAUAUCGUCAACAGAAUUUAUAAUUAUGAGCAUAAAAAUUUAUAAUUAAAACUAUUCGAUAAUUGUUAACAUUAAAAACGUGACUAGGCAUUUAUAAUAUAUUCUAAACCUUAUUACCAAUAAAAAUCUCCCUGACAGCACAUAAUUUUGUUACAACUUCUGUCAUUUGCAUUCGCUCGGAUGGAGAUUCCAUUGAGCAGGCAACUCCAGUUCUCACUACAGCUACCAAGCACUCCUCAAUUCUGAUUAUUUCGUUCUCACGACUCCUAGUGCUGCUCGGCCCCCUUGCUUCCAUCAGCAGUGAAGGGUCAACAAUUCCCAUUACUUUUUUCGGCAGAGCCAUCUUGGCAUAUCCAUGGAGAGUCAAGCCAUCAUUGAACAUGUUAUCAGUUGGUCUUCUUCUGGUAAACAUCUCAAGCAACAAAAUUACGAAGCUGUACACAUCUCCUGUCAUGGAUAAAUCGCCGCCCAUACCAUACUCUGGCCAAAAAUAUAUACAUAUACCGUAUUCUCUGUGUUAGAUGCUUAGAUUAAGUGCUUAUAUCAUGUGCAUAUAGUAUAGUAUUUAAAAGAUCAAAAUACCAAAUAUUUAUGGAAAAAAUAAUUACCUGGUCCAAUAUAACCAAUAGUUCCUUUCAUCCCAAUUGAACUUGAUUGACCUUCAGGAGCUACAAGAAAUGGGUGGUGGGACAGAAAUCUAGCUAGCCCAAAGUCACUCACAUGGGCAACCAUGUCAUGAUCAAGUAAAACGCUGCUUGGCUUUAGAUCGCCAUGAACUGGUGGUUGGCAGUGGUUGUGAAGAUAUUCGAUUACAGAAGCCACUUCAAUGACUAUGUUUAGUCUUUGAAUGAGAUUUAAUAAAUUUUUAAAAUAUUUUUUAACCCACCUUGAAAAGUAAUUAAUAAUUUUAAAAUAUUUAACUCACCAAUAAUAUUUUUAUUUGUAGAGUCUUCUCUAAAUUAAAAAAAAAAUUCUUUCAUCAUAAAUUAUAAAAGUUUGUGUAUGUUAAUAAAUCAUUUUCUGGUAUAAUAAUUAAAAAAUACAUAAAACAAUAUGUACUUAAUUUGUUUCUCAAACACACAUUAGCACAUCAUUAUUGCUGCAAAUAUAAAAUAAUAAUAAUAAUAUUCACAUAUAUACUUCACCAAAUUAAUUUUCUUUGAGUAGUGCUACACAUUUCAAAUUUUAAUUUCAAAAAUUUAUCUCGAAUGAUACAACAUUCAUUAACUGAAUGGUGCGAUAAUACAAUUAAUUCACUUGAAUCUUAUAAAAAAUAUUAAUUACUUAAUAAAUAAUACAUCACAUUGCCACAUAACUUGGCAUGAAAUUUAAAAUAUAAAAUUUUGUAUAUCUAUCAUUACUACAUAAUUUGAGAUGAAAUUUAAAAUACAAAUUUUAUGAUGUUUAUCAUUACUUAUUAUUUAUUUAUUUAUGUUUAUCUAAUUCGGAUUCAUGUGGAAUUUACUAAUGUGGUGAUGAGUGUGCUCUUAAAAGCAGAAUCAAUGGAGAAUGAGAAUGUGAAAACGAUGACUGUUUCUGAAGUCAACGAACAAAAUGUCGUUCACACUUCCCACGAAAACUAAUAGGUGGCCAAUAAGUUUCUGCCUCUUGUAGGUGGAUUCCUCGACAAUCAAUUUCAAUUACUUUUGUGCGUACGUGGUGCACAUUUCUAAUAAACGAGAAAAAUGUGCCCCAAACGUACCAUACACGAUUGCAUGUAGUGCGCUUUGACCAAUGAGGAUCCACUGAUGGGUUGUUUUGAUUUAAAGUUGUGCUAUACAUUCUACAUUAUUUAUCUCAAAAAAAUUAUUUUAAAUGAUGUGACAUUUAUUAAUUGAUUAGUGAAGAUAAUACAAUUAAUUUACUUAAAUCUUGUAAAGAAUUACUAACCAAUUAAUGAAUGACAUAUCAUUUAGGAUAAUGUUCAAUGUCAAGCUGAGUUUUUACAAAACAUUAAAUCAAUGAUUGUUAGACAAAAUAAAAAAAAUUAAAUAAUUCUAAUUAUUAAUAAAAUAUACUCCACUGAGGCACCAACUAUAUAUAGUUGUAGUUUGAAUAAACUAUACUCGAAAAAUUAGCUUACCUUUAUCUAUUAAUCAUCUUUGAAAAACUUUGUAAUAUUGUAGUAACAUAAAUAAAGUUUUGCUGCAAAUUUUCUUAUCCAAUCCUAAAGGAUUUUCUUCCAAAUUUAUGACACACUAUUCCUUUAAAUUUAUAACGCUUGACUUAUUUUAUAAGAAAAGAGAAGCAUUAAUAGUUAUUUUUGUCCACAAAUAAAUGACAGCUUUUUAUCAUUUAAUUUGACGGUAGCUUAAUCUUCAACUACCAAUAUGAGCAACAGGAGAUUUUAUCGACUUAUCUGGACCUGGUUGCUAUUUAUUUAGUUGUAAAGUAAAUGAGGCAAUUGAAAAAUGAAUAAUAGGUUGAGAAAUAUUGCUAAAAUGAUUAGUAACUUCAUUCUCAGACCACAAAAUUGAACGAUCAGAGUGGAAUUAAGUUUAAGAUUUUACAUAUCCUCAACAGAAUUUAUAAUUAUGAGCAUAAAAAUUUAUAAUUAAAACUAUUCGAUAAUUGUUAACAUAAAAAACGUGACUAGGCAUUUAUAAUCUAUUCUAGACCUUAUUACCAAUAAAAAUAUCCCUGACAGCACAUAAUUUUGUUACAACUUCUGUCAUUUGCAUUCGCUCAGAUGGAGAUUCCAUUGAGCAGGCAACUCCAGUUCUCACUACAGCUACAAAGCACUCCUCAAUUCUGAUUAUUUCGUUCUCAUUAAUCCUAGUGCUGCUCGGCCCCCUUGCUUCCAUCAGCAGUGAAGGGUCAACAAUUCCCAUUACUUUUUUCGGCAGAGCCAUCUUGGCAUAUCCAUGGAGAGUCAAGCCAUCAUUGAACAUGUUAUCAGUUGGUCUUCUUCUGGUAAACAUCUCAAGCAACAAAAUUCCGAAGCUGUACACAUCUCCUGUCAUGGAUAAAUCGCCUCCCAUACCAUACUCUGGCCAAAAAUAUAUACACAUACCAUAUUCUUUGUGUUAGAUGCUUAGAUUAAGUGCUUAUAUCAUGUGCAUAUAGUAUAUUAUUUAAAAGAUCAAAAUAUCACAUAUAUAUGGAAAAAAUAAUUACCUGGGGCAAUAUAACCAACAGUUCCUUUCAUCCCAAUUGAACUUGAUUGACCUUCAGGAGCUAGAAGAAAUGAGUGAUCCGACAGAAAUCUAGCUAGCCCAAAGUCACUCACAUGGGCAACCAUGUCAUGAUCAAGUAAAACGUUGCUUGGCUUUAGAUCGCCAUGAACAAUUGGUUGUUGGCAGUGGUGGUGAAGAUAUUCAAUUACACAAGCCACUUCAAUGACUAUGUUUAGUCUUUGAAUGAGAUUUAAAUUGCCCACUUCAUCAUUGGUAGGGUGCAACCAAUCCUCUAAACUUCCACAUUUCAUGUAUUCAUAAACAAUUGCCUUGAAAUCAGCACCUUUAAUAUCAAUGCUUGAGCAGAUAGUGAUGAUUUUGAUGAGAUUCCGAUGACGAAUGUUUCUUAAUGCUUCACAUUCGGCAACAAAACUCUUUGUUGCACCUUUUUUAUUCAGAUUCAUUACCUUCACUGCUACUGACAUUCCGUCCGCACCUAGAUUUCCCUUGUACACAAAGCCAAAGCUUCCCUUGCCGAUUAUGUUUGAUGAAGAAAAUUCGUUUGUCGCCUUACUUAGCUCAGCAUAAGAAACUAUUGGAAAUUGUUGUUCCAUCAACAGUACACUUGAUGGUUUAUGUGCAAGUUUGGUUCUUCGAGUAUAAACAACAAUAGAGCAUAUUAAAAAGAUGAGAACUGACCCAAUCACCGGAAUCACAACUUUGAGAAUAGUAGUAGUUUCUUUUCUUGGUCCACGCGAAUGGCAGGCUGGUAAAUGCAAUUCACCUAUACCUCCACAAAGCUGUUCAUUCCCAGUUAAAGAAAUUCUUGUUUCGUUGUUGAAGACUCCUUUUUUUGGUACCUCACCCUCAAAGUGAUUGUAAGACAGGUUUAGGUACUCUAAGAAGGGUAGAUCCUCAAGAUAUUUUGGGAUUUGGCCUGACAAAUUGUUACAUGAAAUAUAUAGCUCUUUAAUGCUUUUUAAGGCAUUUAAAGACUGCGGAAUCCUUCCAUUAAACGAAUUGCCUUGCAUAAUAAGAUACUCUAAGGUUUACGAGCACUUAGAGUAACAGGAAUCUCAUUGGAAAAUGAUUUCUAGAUAUAUCCAAUUUAACGAGAUUUUUCAAGUUACCCACCUCUAGUGGAAUAGAACCACUAAGAUGGUUUUCGGACAAAUCUAAGAGAAUUGAAAGGGUUGUUAUCCCAAAAAUUUGUGGGGGCAAAGUACCAUUGAGUUUAUUGUUGGGGGCACUCAAUUCCAUCAAAUUCUGACAUUUGCCGAGGGAUGAGGGUAUACUGCAUUGCAAUUUAUUGAAUCCUAAUUGAAGGACAUUCAAUAAAGUGAGGUUACCAAGUGAGUCAGGAAUGAUCCCCCUUAUGUUGUUUCCAACCAAGCCAAGAGCUUGCAGGUUUCUGAGCUCACCAAUGGCAGGAGGAAUAGUUCCUGUUAACUGGUUAUACUCUAAACCCAAUCCAUUAAGAUUGAAAAGAUUUCUUAUUUCAGGAGGUAUGGUGCCUUAUGUUUGAUUCCCUGCCGUGGCGAUUAAUGUCAUUGUUGUCGAGAGGUUGGCUAAAGUGUCAAAGGCAGCCAUCUAGAUGGUUUAAAGCAGCCAUCUAGAUGGUCAGCAUCCAUGUUGUUCAAAGAAGAGGAAUUUUGCAGCAAGUUGGAAAGGAAAAGGAGCACAUGGGUUUGACAUUUGAAAGAAGAAAAAAGAACGUAAAAAUAAUAUAGAAUUGCUGCAUAGUGCCAAAGCUUUCUCUAUAAAUAGAAACGAAGAGAAUGAGCAAAGGCAUUCUAUUCAGAGAGCAAUUUAGGGAGUUGAGAGAGAGUUCAAGAGCUUGCAUUUAUAAGCUCUUGUUACAGUGAUUGAGAGAGUUUGGGUGUAUUGGGGUUUUGGGUAGUGAGAUAAAAUACUACAAUACUUGUAACUCCUUUUCACUAGUAAAAUAUGUCCUUCUGUUUUCGCCCGUGGACGUAGGCUAAAAGCCGAACCACGUAAUUUCUUGUGUCCUCUAUUGUGCUUGUUCUUUAUUUUCUUCCAAUUUUAUUUUAGCUGCGUGUCUGCGCCACCCAACAAUUUCCUAACAGUGGUAUCAGAGCUAUUGGUUGUAUUUUUUGGAGUUGGGUACUAUUCACGUAAGGGGUACUAUUCACAUAUACGGUACUGUUCACGUAUACGAUACUAUUCACGUAUACGGUAUUGUUCACGUAUACAGUACUAUUCACGUGAAACGGUGGAAGUGAUCCAAGAAUUUUACGGUGCAAAGCAAAGAAUAAUGGUGUGAGUAAAAGCAACUGUGUGGUUUUGUACAUGUCUAGGAAAGUUCUGUCACAAAGGCGAUAAGAGCUUAAGGAGUCUGGGUUUUAAGUAGGACCAUUGUGACCCCUCCAGUCUUUCCUGGGAACUUUCCUGGUGUGCAUUCUCACACAUACUCACAACUAUUCAAGGUGGUACACUAGCUUGUGUGCGGUACUUAUCAACAAAAUGGCGGCAAAGUAUGAAAUUGAGAAGUUUAACGGAAAUAAUUUUUCGUUGUGGAAAAUGAAGAUGAAAGUUAUAUUGAGGAAAAAUAAUUGCUUUGCAGCAAUUGGAGAAAGGCCCAUGGAGAUAACUGAUGACAAGUGGAACGAGGUAGACGGCAACGCCAUUUCUGAUCUACACUUGGCACUUGCAGACGAAGUAUUAUCCAGUGUGGUAGAGAAAAACACAGCGAAGGAAAUUUGGGAUACUCUCACAAAAUUGUACGAGGCCAAGUCACUACACAACAAAAUUUUCUUGAAGAGGAAACUUUAUACUCUUCGAAUGGCGGAAUCUACAAUGGUGACCGACCACAUCAACACCUUGAAGACUCUAUUUUCACAACUCACAACUUUGGGUCAUAAUAUAGAGGAAAAUGAACGUGCAGAGCUUCUACUUCAAAGUCUACCAGAUUCGUAUGAUCAACUCAUCAUCAACCUGACAAACAACAAUCCAGCGGACAGUCUAGUUUUUGACGAUGUUGCAGCCUCCGUAUUAAAUGAGGAGAGCAGGCGGAAAAAUAAGGAAAACAGACAAGCAAGUUCGCAGCAAGCGGAGGCGCUAUCGGUGACGAGAGGGAGAUCAACAGAACGUGGCCCCAGUGGGAGUCACAAUAAUGGUAGAUCAAAAUCCAGAAGUAAGAAGAAUGUUAAAUGCUACAACUGUGGCAAGAAAGGGCACGUCAAGAAAGAGUGUUGAAGUAACCAGAAGAGAAAAGAGGGCAAAGAACCUGAGUCAUCAAAUGCUCAGGGGUGUGUAGCAAGUACCUCGGAUGAUGGCGAAAUUCUCUACAGCGAAGCAACAAUUGUUUCAGAAGGCAGAAAACGACUUUAUGAUGUCUGGCUUAUAGACUCAGGAGCUACCUGGCACAUGACCUCUCGGAGAGAAUGGUUCCACACAUAUGAACCUAUCUCAGGAGGAUCUGUAUAUAUGGGUAAUGAUCAUGCCUUGGAGAUCGCUGGUAUUGGUACUAUCAAAAUAAAAAUGUUUGAUGGUACAAUUCGCACAAUUGGGGAGGUACGCCAUGUCAACGGCCUGAAGAAAAAUCUUUUGUCUUUGGGACAAAUGGAUAGUCGUGGGUACAAAACUCAUGUGGAGAAUGGAAUUAUGAAGAUCGUUAAAGGCGCGCUUGUAUUAAUGAAGGCGGAAAAGAUCGGUGCUAAUCUAUUCAUGCUUAAAGGGGAAACACUACAGGAAGCUGAUGCGUGUGUCGCGUCAAAUGGAGAAGAGUCAACGAUGAUGUGGCAUCUCAAACUUGGCCACAUGUCGGAACAAGGCUUAAAGAUUCUCUCUGAGCGAAAAUUACUUCCGAGGCUCAAAUCGGUAAGUUUACCAUUUUGCGAGCAUUGUGUUACUAGUAAGCAGCAUAGAUUAAAAUUUAGUAGAUCUAUUGCUAGAAGUAAAUGCAUUCUAGACUUAAUUCAUUUUGAUAUUUGGGAAUCACCGGAUAUAUCCAUGGGAGGUGCAAAGUACAUGGUGACUUUCAUUGAUGAUUAUUCCAGAAGAUGUUGGGUGUAUCCAAUUAAGAAAAAGUCAGAUGUAUUUCCAGUGUUUAAAGAAUACAAAGCGCGGGUGGAACUUGAAUCUAGUAAAAAGAUCAAGUGCUUAAGGACGGAUAAUGGUGGAGAGUAUACAGACGGCGAGUUUCUUGCUUUCUGUAAGCAAGAAGGUAUUCAGAGGCAGUUCACGGUGGCAUACACUCCUCAACAAAACGGAGUGGCAGAGCGGAUGAACAGAACUCUUACAGAAAGAAUAAGAGCUAUGUUGAGGACUGCUGGUCUACCCAAUUCAUUCUGGGCAGAAGCAGGCAAAAUUGCUUGUUAUAUAGUAAAUUGAUCGCCAUCUACAGCUAUUGGGCUAAAGACAGCAAUGGAGAAGUGGACUGGAAAGCCAGCUGAUUAUUCCUACCUACAUGCAUUUGGAUGUCCUGUGUACGUGAUGUACAAUGCCCAAGAAAGAACAAAGUUAGAUGCAAAAUCUAGAAGAUGUAUCUUCUUGGGGUAUGCUGAUGGAGUAAAGGGGUAUCGUCUGUGGGACCCAACUGCCCACAAGAUCGUCAUCAGCAGAGAUGUUAUCUUUGUAGAAGAUCAACUGCAAAGGAGAGAUGAGGAUGAUGGCACUACAAAAGAAAAGUCAGAGAUCGUGCCAGUAUAUGUGGAAAAUAAUCUAGAAGAUUCAGAUUCUUCUGAAGCAGCACCAGAGCACGAGGAACAAGAACCAGUCGAGUCCGAGGCUCAAGAAGUUCGUCGGUCAACUCGUGAGAGACGACCACCAACAUGGCACUCGGAGUAUAUCACAGAGAUCAACGUUGCAUACUGUCUUCUAACAGAGGAUGAAGAGCCUUCAACUUUCCAUGAAGCUUUAGAAAGCUCAGAUAUUGCUUUGUGGAUGACAGCAAUGCAGGAAGAAAUUGAAGCUCUACACAAGAACAAGACAUGGGAACUUGUACCACUACCACGUGGAAGAAAAGCCAUUGGAAACAAAUGGGUCUAUAAGAUCAAGCGUGAUGGCAAUGACCAAGUGGAGCGGUAUCGUGCAAGAUUGGUGGUGAAAGGAUAUGCUCAGAAAGAAGGUAUUGACUUCAACGAGAUAUUUUCGCCCGUGGUUCGACUCACAACAGUUAGAAUAGUCUUGGCAAUGUGUGCUACAUUUGACCUACAUCUAGAGCAGUUAGAUGUGAAAACUGCAUUUCUUCAUGGAGAACUUGAAGAAGAAAUAUAUAUGCUCCAACCAGAAGGUUUUGCAGAAACAGGAAAGGAGAACUUGGUUUGUAGGUUGAACAAAUCUCUUUACGGUCUCAAACAGGCGCCGAGGUGUUGGUAUAAGAGAUUUGAUUCCUUCAUCAUGAGUCUUGGAUACAACAGGCUCAGUUCAGACCAUUGUGUAUAUUACAAGAGGUUUGAAGAUAAUGAUUUCAUUAUUUUGCUGUUGUAUGUGGAUGACAUGUUGGUAGCAGGUCCCAACAAAGAUCGAAUCCAAGAAUUGAAGGCACAGUUGGCUAGGGAGUUUGAAAUGAAGGACUUGGGACCAGCAAACAAGAUUCUAGGGAUGCAAAUUCACCGAGACAGAAAUAACAGGAAGAUUUGGCUUUCGCAGAAGAAUUACUUGAAGAAAAUCUUGCGACGCUUCAACAAGAUUGUAAGCCAAUUUCUACCCCACUUCCUGUUAAUUUCAAAUUAUCCUCAAGUAUGUGUCCUAGUAAUGAAGCAGAGAGGAAGGAGAUGUCUCGAGUACCGUAUGCAUCAGCAGUGGGAAGUUUAAUGUUCGUUAUGAUAUGUACAAGACCAGACAUUGCACAAGCAGUGGGAGCAGUCAGUCGAUAUAUGGCGAAUCCUGGUGGAGAGCAUUGGAUAGCUGUGAAGAGGGUUCUGAGAUACAUCAGAGGAACCUCAGAUGUUGCAUUAUGUUAUGGAGGAUCAGAGUUUACUGUCAGAGGCUAUGUAGAUUCAGAUUUUGCAGGAGACCUUGAUAAAAGGAAAUCCACUACUGGUUAUGUGUUUACACUUGCGGGAGCAGCUGUAAGCUGGGUUUCGAAACUGCAGACCGUUGUGGCUUUAUCUACAACAGAAGCAGAGUACAUGGCAGCUACACAAGCUUGCAAGGAAGCUAUUUGGAUACAAAGGUUAUUGGAGGAGCUCGGGCACGGACAAGAGAAAAUUUCUGUAUUUUGUGACAGUCAGAGUGCCUUGCACAUUGCAAGGAAUCCAGCCUUUCAUUCCAGGACAAAGCACAUAGGAGUCCAGUAUCACUUCGUUCGUGAAGUAGUGGAAGAUGGAAGUGUGGAUUUGCAGAAAAUCCAUACCAAAGAGAAUCUAGCAGAUGUUUUGACCAAGCCGAUUAAUACUGAUAAGUUUGUCUGGAGUAGAUCCUCUUGUGGCCUAGCAGAAACGUAGGCAACAUGUUUAUGGCGAAGUAGAAAGGAUGGUGUGGGGAUUGAUUGCUUCUCAAUCUAAUCUCCAAGUGGGAGAAAUGUCAAAGGCAGCCAUCUAGAUGGUUUAAAGCAGCCAUCUAGAUGGUCAGCAUCCAUGUUGUUCAAAGAAGAGGAAUUUUGCAGCAAGUUGGAAAGGAAAAGGAGCACAUGGGUUUGACAUUUGAAAGAAGAAAAAAGAACGUAAAAAUAAUAUAGAAUUGCUGCAUAGUGCCAAAGCUUUCUCUAUAAAUAGAAACGAAGAGAAUGAGCAAAGGCAUUCUAUUCAGAGAGCAAUUUAGGGAGUUGAGAGAGAGUUCAAGAGCUUGCAUUUAUAAGCUCUUGUUACAGUGAUUGAGAGAGUUUGGGUGUAUUGGGGUUUUGGGUAGUGAGCUAAAAUACUACAAUACUUGUAACUCCUUUUCACUAGUAAAAUAUUUCCUUCUGUUUUCGCCCGUGGACGUAGGCUAAAAGCCGAACCACGUAAUUUCUUGUGUCCUCUAUUGUGCUUGUUCUUUAUUUUCUUCCAAUUUUAUUUUAGCUGCGUGUCUGCGCCACCCAACAAUUUCCUAACAUAAAGAAUGUGGUAGUACUCCUCCAAAUCUAUUAAAAUGUAAACCAAGCCUUUCCAACUUACUACAAUUUGUAAGAAGGGUUAUAAAAUCAAGAUCUGUAGAUGUCCUUGUUCCUAAAUUAUUUUGACCCAAAAAAAGCAUAAUUAGAUUCGGGAGACUGUUGAAAUUGAUUCUCACUUGUCCACUGAAAUGAUUUUCAUUAAGGUCAAGCGCUUUAAGUUUUGAAGCAUUGGACAAUGACUGUGGGAGAAAACCUGUAAGAUUGUUUUGAGCCACUACUAGGACGCUCAGUUUUGGAAGAUUGAAACCUAAGCAGACUGGAAGACUUCCUUGAAAUCUAUUUGUAAGUAGGUUCAAGUUUUCCAGGGAAGACAUGUUACAAACUGACAGAGGAAACAUACCAGAAAAAUCAUUUUCUGGUAUGCCUAAGAAGGUCAAGUUUCUUAGUUGACCUAGACUAUCAGGAAUUGUCCCAUUCAAUUUAUUUUCCCCAAUGUCAAUUGUCCGGAGAGCUGAGAGAUUCCCAAUGGAAGGUGGGAGCUGCCCUGUCAACUGAUUACCGUACAAGGACAAGCGCUCAAGUUUCAGCCAGUUGCUGAUAAUUGCUUGAAUCUGUCCCACGAGGUUGUUAGUAUGGACCCAAAAAUGGAUGAGGUUAAAACAACAAGACAAGUUGGUUGGAUUAACGAACAAAAAGUCGUUCACACUUCCCACGAAAACGAUGACUGUUUCCGAAGUCAACGAACAAAAAGUCGUUCACACUUCCCACGAAAACUAAUAGGUGGCCAAUAAGUUACUGCCUCAUGUAGGUGGAUUCCUCGACAAUCAAUUUCAAUUACUUUUGUGCGUACGUGGUGCACAUUUCCAAUAAACGAGAAAAAUGUGCCCCAAACGUACCGUACAUGAUUGCAUGUAGUGCGCUUUGACCAACGAGGAUCCACUGAUGUGGGUUGUUAUGAUUUAGAGUUGUACUUUACAUUCUACAUUAUUUAUCUUAAAAAAUAUCUUAAAUGAUGUGGUAUUUAUUAAUUAAUUAGUAAAAAUAAUAUAAUUUAUUUAUUUAAAUAUUGUAAAAAAUUAUCAAUCAAUUAAUGAAUGACAUAUCAUUUGAGAUAAUAUUCAAUGCCGAGCUGAGUUUUUACUGAAUAUUGAAUCAAUGGUUGUUAGACUAAAUAAAAAAAUUAAAAUAAUUCUAAUUAUUAAUUUAGUACUCAAUAAAAACUUAGUUUAGCACUAAAUUUUAAUUCAUAUAAGGAUAAAUCUACCAAAAUAGUGUAUCUAUUGGUUUGGCGCACUAAGUGUACACCACAUAAUUUAAGUCUUUCCCCUAUAAACGAAUUGAAAAAUUGACAAUCAAUCAAAAUUAAUUUUAUGAAUUUGUGGGAAUUUCUACUGUGGAAAAUAAGUUCUCGCUUCUCAAUGCGUACAUUUUUAAUUCAAAGAUUCAAUGAUCCAUAUACUAUCUAAUAAACCAAUUAAAAAUAUGUGUGCAUGAUCGAUGCAACUUCGAAUUCACGGGAAGGGUUCUUAAAGCAGAAAAUGUAUUAACUAAUUUCAUAAGGUGCGUGUACCACACACAUAAGUUGACGCAUAAACCAAGACAGUCAAUAAAAUGCAACUGAAAAAUUGAAUGGUGUUGGUGGAGUCUUUUGGAAAUGAAAUAAAUUCCAAUUAUUUUUGUUGAAAUUUCUUCUUCGAAAACAAAUGGCUGAACAUCCACUAUCCAAUAAUUGUAGGGCCUCUACAUAAAUUAUUUUUAUAACAUAUAUAUUUACCCACUCCUCCACUGAGGUACCGAUUAUAUAUGGUUGUAGUUUGAAUAAAGUAUACUUGCAAAAUUAGUUUAUCUUUAUCUAUUGAUCUUCUUUGAAAAACUUAGUAAUAUUGUAGUAACAUAAAUAAAACAUUGUCACAAAUUUUGUUAUCCAAUCCUAAAGGAUUUGCUUCCAAGUUUAUGACACACUAUUCCUUUAAAUUUAUAACAGUUGACUUAUUUUAUAAGAAAAGAGAAGCAUUAAUAGUUCUUUUUGUCCACAAAUAAAUGACAGAUUUUUAUCAUUUAAUUUGACGGUAGCUUAAUCUUCAACUACCAAUAUGAGCAACAGGAGAUUUUAUCGACUUAUCUGGACUUGGUUGCUAUUUAUUUAGUUGUAAAGUAAAUGAGGCAAUUGAAUAUUGAAUAAUAGGUUGAAAAAUAUUGCUAAAAUGAUUAGUAACUUCAUUCUCAGACCACAAAAUUGCACGAUCAGAGUGGAAUUAAGUUUAAGAUUUUACAUAUCCUCAACAGAAUUUAUAAUUAUGAGCAUAAAAAUUUAUAAUUAAAACUAUUCGAUAAUUGUUAACAUAAAAAACGUGACUAGGCAUUUAUAAUCUAUUCUAAACCUUAUUACCAAUAAAAAUCUCCCUGACAGCACAUAAUUUUGUUACAACUUCUGUCAUUUGCAUUCGCUCGGAUGGAGAUUCCAUUGAGCAGGCAACUCCAGUUCUCACUACAGCUACCAAGCACUCCUCAAUUCUGAUUAUUUCGUUCUCAUGACUCCUAGUGCUGCUCGGCCCCCUUGCUUCCAUCAGCAGUGAAGGGUCAACAAUUCCCAUUACUUUUUUCGGCAGAGCCAUCUUGGCAUAUCCAUGGAGAGUCAAGCCAUCAUUGAACAUGUUAUCAGUUGGUCUUAUUCUGGUAAACAUCUCAAGCAACAAAAUUCCGAAGCUGUACACAUCUCCUGUCAUGGAUAAAUCGCCGCCCAUAUCAUACUCUGGCCAAAAAUAUAUACAUAUACCGUAUUCAUUGUGUUAGAUGCUUAGAUUAAGUGCUUAUAUCAUGUGCAUAUAGUAUAUUAUUUAAAAGAUCAAAAUACCAAAUAUUUAUGGAAAAAAUAAUUACCUGGGCCAAUAUAACCAAUAGUUCCUUUCAUCCCAAUUGAACUUGAUUGACCUUCAGGAGCUACAAGAAAUGGGUGGUGGGACAGAAAUCUAGCUAGCCCAAAGUCACUCACAUGGGCAACCAUGUCAUGAUCAAGUAAAACGUUGCUUGGCUUUAGAUCGCCAUGAACAAUUGGUGGUUGGCAGUGGUUGUGAAGAUAUUCGAUUACAGAAGCCACUUCAAUGACUAUGUUUAGUCUUUGAAUGAGAUUUAACUUGCCCACUUCGAGUUUAUCAUUGGUAGGGUGCAACCAAUCCUCUAAACUUCCACAUUGCAUGUAUUCAUAAACAAUUGCCUUGAAAUCAGCACCUUUAAUAUCAAUGCUUGAGCAAAUAGUGAUGAUUUUGAUGAGAUUCCGAUGGCGGAUGUUUCUUAAUGCUUCACAUUCAGCAACAAAACUCUUUGUUGCACCUUUUUUAUCAAGAUUCAUUACCUUCACUGCUACUGAAAUUCCGCCCUCGCCUAGAUUUCCCUUGUACACAAAGCCAAAGCUUCCCUUGCCGAUUCUGUUUGAUGAAGAAAAUUCUUUUGUUGCCUUACUUAGCUCAGCAUAAGAAACUAUUGGAAAUUGUUGUUCCAUCAACAGUGCACUUGAUAAUUUAUGUGCAAGUUUGGUUCUUCGAGUAUAAACAACAAUAAAGCACAUUAAUAAGAUGAGAACUAACCCAAUCACCGGAAUCACAACUUUGAGAAGAGUAAUAGUUUCUUUUCUUCGUCCAACCGAAUGGCAGGCUGGUAAAUGCAAUUCACCUAAACCUCCACAAAGCUGUUUAUUCCCAGUUAAAGAAAUUCUUGUUUCAUUGCUGAACACUCCUUUUUUUGGUACCUCGCCCUCAAAGUGAUUGUAAGACAAGUUUAGGUACUCUAAGAAGGGUAGAUCCUCAAGAUGUAUUGGGAUUUGGCCUGACAAAUUGUUACAUGAAAUAUCUAGCUCUUUAAUGCUUUUUAAGGCAUUCAGAGACUGCGGGAUGCUUCCAUUAAAUGAAUUGCCCUGCAUAAGAAGAUACUCUAAGGUUGUACAAGCACUUAGAGUAACAGGAAUCUCAUUGGAAAAAUGAUUUCUAGAUAUAUCCAAUUGAACGAGACUUUUCAAGUUACCCACCUCUAGUGGGAUAGAACCACUAAGAUGGUUUUCGGACAAAUCUAAGAGUUUUGAAAGAGUUGUUAUCCCAAAAAUUUGUGGGGGCAAAGUACCAUUGAGUUGAUUGUUGGGGGCACUCAAUUGCAUCAAAUUCUGACAUUUGCCGAGGUAUGAGGGUAUACUGCCUUGCAAUUUAUUGAAUCCUAAUUGAAGGAUAUUUAAUAAUGUGAGGUUACCGAUUGAGUCAGGAAUGAUCCCCCUUAUGUUGUUUCCAACCAAGCCAAGAUAUUGCAGGUUUCUGAGCUCACCAAUGGCAGGAGGAAUAGUGCCUGUUAACUGGUUAUACUCUAAACCCAAUCCAUUAAGAUUGAAAAGAUUUCUUAUUUCAGGAGGUAUGGUGCCUGAUAUUUG